AGCCCACUGUGCGGACUGAGCUGAUGGGGCAGAUCCCUCCUCCCAGUACAUCCUGCCUGGUGGAGCACGGUACCUUGAGGAUCCAGACAACCAGAUAGCAACAUUUUCUGAGCUCUGCUCAGAUAACAUGAAGAAAGCGUGUUCAGACUGCUUCACAGCUGUGUCCCACACUUCCCCCUGUGCUCUCAACUGUGUGCAUCAAACUCCUCAGUGAUCCCCAUCGAUCGGUGUGUCAGGCCGCCUUCCAGUCGUUCUGCCCAAGCCAGGCUGCUCUCUACACUCUGGAGGAUGGCACCCUGAGCAUCAGGCCACCGAGCCAAGAAGUGGAGUCUAACUUUGCCUCUGGCUCACCCAGGCCCAGCAGCUGUAGUGCCACCUUAGCCGAGUGAGCUCUAGCCAGGAUGCUUGGCACCGCCAGCCCCCGUCACCUCAAGCAUCCACCUAGAAUCCAGCAACGAUCUCAUCUCCAGCUUUAGUAAUAGUGACCUUCUGGGCAAGAUGGAAGAUUAGAGCUUUAAUUAUGUAAAGAAGCAAAAAGUAAUUGCAAUAACGAUUUGGAAACAUGACUGCCGGGUUAUAAAUAAUGAAGCUACCACGUCUCCUCAGUUCAGAUAAAAUAUUCAUUCAGGGUGGUGAUUAAAUAACCUGUAAAGAAAAUUGUCUCUUUCUCCUUGAUUAAUGAAGUUCUUCAGAGAAUUUACACAGGAAAAAAGGUGAAGUCUUCCAGAUGUGCGUUUGUGACACAGGACAUUCUUAUUAUACCAAGGCUUGUCUCUGUGUGCUGUCUUGACCCUCAGUUCCUUUCUAGCGUGGUGGUUGAUCUUGUGUUUGUCAUGCCUGCCCUCUGAGGAUGGCA
RNAcentral lists this long non-coding RNA (856 nucleotides) under Mus spicilegus (steppe mouse). RNAcentral's name for it is "lncRNA (ENSMSIG00000026818.1)". The record is from RNAcentral. Lineage: Eukaryota; Metazoa; Chordata; Mammalia; Rodentia; Muridae.